Molecule: ribosomal RNA, 417 nt
Filed under: uncultured bacterium
Lineage: Bacteria
Description: bacterial SSU rRNA
Rfam family: Bacterial small subunit ribosomal RNA
Source: RNAcentral
GGGCCCGCACAAGCGGUGGAGCAUGUGGUUUAAUUCGAUGCAACGCGAAGAACCUUACCAGGUCUUGACAUGUCACUUUUUUCUUGAAAAAGAAAGUUCCCGAGUGAACACAGGUGGUGCAUGGCUGUCGUCAGCUCGUGUCUUGAGAUGUUGGGUUAAGUCCCGCAACGAGCGCAACCCUUAUUCUGUGUUGCUAUUUAUAGGAAACUCAGAAGACUGCCGGUGAUAAGCCGGAGGAAGGUGAGGAUGACGUCAAGUCAGCAUGCCCCUUACGACCUGGGCCACACACCGUGCUACAAUGGCCGGGACAAAGAGAUGCAAUUUCGCGAGAGCAAGCUAACCUCAAAAACCCGGUCUUAGUUCGAUUGUAGGCUGAAACUCGCUACAUGAAGCUGGAAUCGCUAGUAAUCGCAGGUC